ACCACAGGGUAGAACCACGGACG
Molecule: non-coding RNA, 23 nt
Filed under: Haplochromis burtoni (Burton's mouthbrooder)
Lineage: Eukaryota; Metazoa; Chordata; Actinopteri; Cichliformes; Cichlidae
Also listed under: 4 other names
Gene: abu-miR-140
Source: miRBase by way of RNAcentral